RNAcentral lists this ribosomal RNA (162 nucleotides) under uncultured bacterium. Its description in RNAcentral is "partial 16S rRNA". It matches the Rfam family "Bacterial small subunit ribosomal RNA", at positions 355 to 507 of the family's 1533-position model. The record is from RNAcentral.
UCGAGAAUAGUCUACAAUGGUCGAAAGACUGAUAGUGCGACGCCGCGUGAACGAGGAAGCCCUUCGGGGUGUAAAGUUCUUUUAUAUGUGAGCAGUGCCAUUUAUGUGAACAGCAUGGGUGGAGAGAUAUUAGCAUAUGAAUAAGCAACGGCUAACUCCGUG